AGGACUGAGUGUUGGGCCCCUGUGUCAACUAGAAAGUCUACCGGGGUCCCCUCCACCUUAAGAGUUACCCUGGGUUCGGAGAGGGGAGCCAAACCCCGCCGCCCCU
Dipodomys spectabilis (banner-tailed kangaroo rat) is the source of this 106-nucleotide long non-coding RNA. RefSeq lists it as uncharacterized. The transcript is spliced from 3 exons. Lineage: Eukaryota; Metazoa; Chordata; Mammalia; Rodentia; Heteromyidae. The record is from RefSeq and is a predicted model, not a curated record.